AAAUUGCUGUGGCAUACGAAUUCACAUAUAAGUGUUGACCGACUAUUUUCUUGUAUUUUAGGGAAACAAAAGUCUUUUUACAGUAUGUAAGCCGUAUCACGCGGAAACAACUUAGUAAAAGCGAGUUGCCCACCUGCUUAUCUGUGCGGGUUCAAUACAAAACGUGAAUCACCGAUGCCAAUACAGCUUUUUG
RNAcentral lists this non-coding RNA (193 nucleotides) under Streptococcus sp. Its description in RNAcentral is "6S RNA". It matches the Rfam family "6S / SsrS RNA". Rfam says of the family: E. coli 6S RNA was the first non coding RNA to be sequenced, but its function was unknown until recently. It consists of 184 nucleotides that fold into an extended hairpin structure with a large single-stranded internal bulge. The record is from RNAcentral. Lineage: Bacteria; Bacillati; Bacillota; Bacilli; Lactobacillales; Streptococcaceae.